RNAcentral lists this long non-coding RNA (1219 nucleotides) under Homo sapiens (human). RNAcentral's name for it is "non-protein coding lnc-TICRR-5:1". Lineage: Eukaryota; Metazoa; Chordata; Mammalia; Primates; Hominidae. The record is from RNAcentral.
AUCCCUUGAGCCCAUGAGUUUGAGAUUACAGUGAGCUGUGAUCAUGCCACUGCCGCUGCACUCCAGCCUUGGCGACAGAGUGAGACCCUGUCUCAAAAAAAAAAAAAAAAAAAAAAAAAAAGAGGGAGGAUCAGAGAGAGAGAGAGAGACAGGAAAUGGGGCUGCCUAGAGAGAUAGAGAGAGACACAGAGAGACAGAGAACAAGACUGACAGGCAGAGAGAGCCAGAGACAGAGUGACAGAGAGAAGGAAAGAGACCAAGAGGAGAGAAGGUGAGAGGCCAAGGGAGGAGAGAAGGCAGGGAGCGCACAGCUUCAGGUGUGGGCAGUGCCCUUGAGGGGUGGGAUGCGGGAGGGGGUGGGGGGCAUGUCUCUAUGGUUCUCAGGCCCUGAGGGGUGAGAAUCAGCGCCCUCCCAGACGAUUUGCUCUUUGCUGUGUUGCCCGGGCCAGGCCCACCUGCAUCUGAAGCCCAGGUGAAGCCAGAUCGACCCUUGUGCUGGGUCCACGAUGCAGACUUCCAGGAUUCACCUGUUCUAGACCACACUUUGAAAGGCAGAAGCGGGGCUUAUGCUGGGAUCCAGGGAGGCGCUGCAGAUGGGAGACGCCACCUGCCCAUCAAAGGAGUUUACAUUUAUUUGGGAACAGGUGAGACACAAUUUUUCAAAUUCUUAAAAUUAAAAAAAAUGUUAUUGGUUUUUAGGGUAACAGAACAGGAGGGGAUCAAGUGAAAAAUAAAAUUCUCCUCCCCUACAAUACCCUCAAGUACAGUCUAAGGGAUGGGAUUUAAAAUACUGGGGGUUCCCCUAUCCUUCCCUUCCCUUGGUGGGAUGAGAUUGGGGCUACUGGUUGGCAUCACGCCAUGGUGGCAUCUCUUAGGAACAUGAGAAAUGCCAGGUCCUUCAUGACACAGCUUUUCACAAGUACCCAUGUGUGUAAGUACACACACACACACACACACACACACACACACAAUUUAUGCUGCAGGUACAGCCGCUGGUGUAUCCCUGGUGUAUCAGGCACUGAUGUGCUGCUCAUAACUAUGGCCUUUGGGACCCUUCACUGUCUUGUUCUCAGCAACUCAGGUGGGGGCAUUUCAGGCACAAGAGAAGGAUAAACAAAACUUGGCCAACAGGGGAGAUGUCUGAGGGGAAAGAUGAACAGAUAGGCCAGGCUCAUUCCUUUGUUUAUUCAAUGAUUGAGUCCUUCUUCUAGCAUUUACA